RNAcentral lists this non-coding RNA (25 nucleotides) under Rattus norvegicus (Norway rat). Lineage: Eukaryota; Metazoa; Chordata; Mammalia; Rodentia; Muridae. The record is from RNAcentral.
GGUUGUCUUCUGUGGUUUCAUUGCU